Molecule: long non-coding RNA, 1064 nt
Organism: Cyprinus carpio carpio
Lineage: Eukaryota; Metazoa; Chordata; Actinopteri; Cypriniformes; Cyprinidae
Source: Ensembl
GUUUUAAUUGUUGGUGAUUUUAAUAUCCAUGUUGAUAAUGAAAAAGAUGCAUUGGGAUCAGCAUUUAUAGACAUUCGGAACUCUAUUGGGGUUAGACAACAUGUCUCAGGACCUACUCAUUGUCGAAAUCAUACUCUAGAUUUAAUACGGUCAGAUGGAAUUGAUGGUGUUGAAAUUAUGGAGCCAAGCGAUGAUAUCUCAGAUCAUUAUUUAGUUUUGUGCAAACUUCAUAUAGCUAAAACUGUAAAUUCUACUUGUUGUUACAAGUAUGGUAGAACCAUCACUUCUACCACAAAAGACUGCUUUGUAAGUAAUCUUCCUGAUGUAUCCCAAUUCCUUAGCAUAUCCAAAACCUCAGAACAACUUGAUGAUGUAACAGAAACUAUGGACUCUCUCUUUUCUAGCAUUUUAAAUACAGUUGCUCCUUUACGCUUAAAGAAGGUUAAGGAAAACAGUCUGACACUGUGGUAUAAUGAGCACACUCGCACCCUAAAGAGAGCAGCCCGGAAAAUGGAGCGCAGCUGGAGGAAAACAAAACUAGAGGUCACCAUAGCCACCAGAUCCAGUCUGUAUCCAAGUCAGAGGGUCACUGCAGUCACCCGGAUCCAGUACGUAUCCAGCCCAGAUGGUGGAUCAGCACCUAGAAAGGACCUCUACAGCCCUGAAAGACAGCGGAGACCAGGACAACUAGAGCCCCAGAGACAGAUCCCCUGUAAAGACCUUGUCUCCGAUGACCACUUGGACAAGACCACAGGAAACAGAUGAUUCUUCUGCACAAUCUGACUUUGCUGCAGCCUGGAAUUGAACUGCUGGUUUCGUCUGGUCAGAGGAGAACUGGCCCCCCGACUGAGCCUGGUUUCUCCCAAGGUUUUUUCUCUAUUCUGUCACCGAUGGAGUUUUGGUUCCUUGCCGCUGUCGCCUCUGGCUUGCUUAGUUGGGGACACUUCAUUUACAGCGAUAUCGUUGACUUGAUUGCAAAUUAUUGCACAGAUACGAUUUAAACUGAACUGAGCUGUGUGAUGACAUCACUGAAUUCAAUGAUGAACUGCCUUUAACUGUCAUUU